Molecule: long non-coding RNA, 473 nt
Organism: Etheostoma cragini (Arkansas darter)
Lineage: Eukaryota; Metazoa; Chordata; Actinopteri; Perciformes; Percidae
Exons: 5
Source: RefSeq, a predicted model, not a curated record
UGGAUGUCCAGUCUCACUACUGGGUGUUCGGUCAACCAGGUUGUUUUCAGCUCUGUCUGUUGAUAACCUGUCUGUCUGGGGGGCCAGUCAGAGUCUCUUUGGGCUUCAGGAGCACAGACAGACAUGGUGCUCUUCUCAGGAGCAGGUCUCAGGGCUCCAUCUCUGUCCCUGACCUGUAGCUGUCACUGGCUGAUGGCUACGUAGUAUUUAAUAGUGAUAAUUAUACCUUCAGGUCGGAUAAAAGGUACAAUGAUGGAAGCUGGCACUAUUUGUCUGCAGUAUGCAGGCCAACAGGGUUAGAGCUCAGCAUCAAUAAUGUAAAAGUCAUUGAGGGACAAUCACCCCAUAGCAGGACAGAGGAUUAACAUUUGCAAGGAGGGAAAUUGAAAGGCUGCAUCACUAACCUCUACACAAGGAGGCCUGAGCAGCGCUUUAUACCUGCUGAUCUAAGCUCAUUUUCAACGGUAGAGCUG